This 371-nucleotide ribosomal RNA is filed under the name uncultured organism. RNAcentral describes it as "partial 16S ribosomal RNA". It matches the Rfam family "Bacterial small subunit ribosomal RNA", at positions 527 to 896 of the family's 1533-position model. The record is from RNAcentral.
GUAGGUGGCAAGCGUUGUCCGGAAUUAUUGGGCGUAAAGCGCGCGCAGGCGGUUCUUUAAGUCUGAUGUGAAAGCCCACGGCUCAACCGUGGAGGGCCAUUGGAAACUGGAGAACUUGAGUACAGAAGAGGAAAGCGGAAUUCCACGUGUAGCGGUGAAAUGCGUAGAGAUGUGGAGGAACACCAGUGGCGAAGGCGGCUUUCUGGUCUGUAACUGACGCUGAGGCGCGAAAGCGUGGGGGAGCAAACAGGAUUAGAUACCCUGGUAGUCCACGCCGUAAACGAUGAGUGCUAAGUGUUAGGGGGUUUCCGCCCCUUAGUGCUGCAGCUAACGCAUUAAGCACUCCGCCUGGGAGUACGGCCGCAAGGCUG